Melopsittacus undulatus (budgerigar) is the source of this 572-nucleotide long non-coding RNA. RefSeq lists it as uncharacterized. NCBI's taxonomy places the organism in Eukaryota, Metazoa, Chordata, Aves, Psittaciformes, Psittaculidae. The transcript is spliced from 3 exons. The record is from RefSeq and is a predicted model, not a curated record.
AUUUUCUCUUUCAUCAGCUGUAACUUAAACCACUGAACACGCUGCUGUACAACGAUGUCCUGUGUGUUACUGCAGACAUAAAGAGCAGCUUCCUUGGGUUAUAGAAGCAGUGACUUUUUCAGCGUGAUUUUUUGCCAUAAAGGGCAAUCUGGUGACUCCAAGAAACUCAGCAGCAGUUCGAGCUCUUGCUUCUUUGCAGGAUAAGGAGUUUUAAUGAGCUCUCAGUGGCCUAAUCCUGUUAACACCCUCUCAAUUUCACUGUGCUUCUGGCUAUCAGGAAGGUUUAUGUCAGCUCCCCAUAGCCAGAACAGCCAGCUCACAGUACAGCCCUUCCUCCUCAACUGGGAAGACCUGCAGCAGGGACCAGACUGGCUUUCCCAAAACCAUCCUUCACCUGUAAUUCUCAACCAUUUUUUUCUAUCUGAAAACUUGUGGACAUUAACACACCCUAAUAGAAGUUCUAAUAAAAGAAAGAGAUGGAUUUUAGGAACUCAUGGCAGUGACACUAUGGACAUCAGUGCAGGGAACUGCUUGACCUAGCUCCUUCUGGAAUAUUGACUGUUGCAGCACUU